UUUUAACCUCUAUUUUAUUUUUUAUUAAAAUAUUGUUAGGCUAGCUUAAAAGUGUGGUGUUUUUUUAACCAAAGUUGGACAUAUGGACCAUUUUAAAAUGAAUAUGUAUUUGCAAAAAUGUUAACCAAAUAAAAAAAUUAAUCUGAACCAAAAUAAAUAAAUAAAGUUAUAAUUGCAAGAACUAAAAAGAUAAUUAAACCUAAUUUUUAAGUUUAAUUAUUAUUUUGUUAUCUUAUUUUUAGCAAUUAACGAAAUUGGUCCCCUUAUUUUAAAAUAUGACAAUUUUGGUAUGUCAUUAUGAUUUUUUAACCAAAAAAAUGGCGAUGUGGCAUGCUUCAAAAAUCGUGGCAUAUGAUAUGAUGAUGUAAAAUGAUUAACACUCUUCAAAUCACAAUAAAACCAUUUAAAAAUUAGGCUUUCAACUUCAAAAAAAAUUCAUUUUUGUAAUUUAAUUAAUAAUAUAUGAAUAAUUAUACAUUUAGAUGAUUUUAUAUCAUGAAACUGUAUGUUGCAUAAUUUAAAAUACGUCAAAUUGUCAUUUUUUAGUUUAUAUAAAAGGAUUAUUUUCGUGAGUUAAUGAAAAUAAAGGACCACAACUACAAUUAAGCUUAAUUUUUAUAAUAUGGACUCAUUUGUUUUAGAUUUAAAAAAAAAUUGAUUUUAAUAUUCCAUAAUUUAAAUGUUAUCUUUUAGAUAGUUUUAAGAAAAUGAAAAAAUGUCUUGCGUUUGUCAAUCGUAGUUAAAAUAUAUAUUUUUUAAAUAAGUUAAUUACAAAAAAUGAUUUUUUGUUUAUAAAUUACUAAAACCAACUUCUCAAAAAGUUAAUUUUUAGAUUUCAUUUAGAAAAAAGCUGUAACAAAUCCAAUCUUUCAAAAGUGGUUUUUUUUUUUUAAUUUAAAAAAAAAAAAGAGAUAAACACAUCUCUAAUUCAAAAUACCAAACUUAAAUUUAGAAUGUUCAAUUAUGAUGGAACAGUCGCCAAUAUAUCAAAUGCAUUAAUUCAUUAUGACCUUAAACCAAUCAUCUCUCAUAGAUGAAGAAGAAAAGAGGUUCUAAGAAGAAGUUGAUGAGUGGGCAACGUGUUGUAUUGUGUUAUGUUAUAAUUUGAAACUACACUAAAAUUAUGCGAGGAGUAGAAACUCCUCUAACAUCAUCAACCAACAAAUGUGAAAGCAUAUGUGGACAAUAAUUAUAAAAUAUGCAUCCAUCAAUAAUCACACCCAAUUUUGGCAAGAGCAUCUGCACAAGCAUUUAUUUCACGAUAUGAAUGACAAAUCCUUACUUCUCAUUUCAUCUCAAGGAGAAUUUGAAUAUGCUGAAAGAUGCGCCAAGCUAUAGUACUCACACCGCACCUAUUUGUAAGGAUUUUAACAACCCCUUCUGAAUCAACAUACAGUUCCACAGCUAGAAAACUCUUGUUCCUUGCCAACUUCAAGCCCUCCAUUACCUCAAAUCUUUGGAGAAACCACAAUCUAAUUACCUUGAUAAUCCCGAAACAAACUGCCACACCCAGCACGCAGUUGUAAUUCAGAUGAACUUAAAAUUGAUCACAUACAAAGCAGGGUGUUAGAUUGCAGAAAACCAAGAACUUAUCAUUGAUAUUUGAUAAGAUUUAAUUAAUUUGAAUUUCGAAAAACAAAUUUCUACUUAAGCGAUAAUUAUAGGAAUUGUUAACAUUAUUUUAUAGGUAAUAUAUGUAUUUGGAAAAGAAUAUAACGUUUUUAUAGAAUUAAAUAUGUCAAUUGGUGUAUCAUUUUCUACUUGUAGUAUCUCUCUUAGAAUUUUAAGUUAUACAAAUAAAUUUAAUUCAUCAAUGCCUGAGUUGUCCUUAUGAUUUAAAAAAUGUUCAAGAUUAAUGCAAUUUUCUUUUGAUUUUUCAUGAUCCAAUAAUUUAAAAUUUCUUGAUAUUAAUUAGAAAACCAAAAAUACCUACAUACAAAUUAAAUUGUUCAAAUCUAUAAGAUAUUAUUUGAAAUACCUACAUACAAAUCCAACACAGAUUCAACACAGAUUCAACAAUAGAACCUAAUCAAUAAGAUAUUAUUUGAAAUAAUUUUUUUUUUAGUUUCUGCUUUAGCCAAAUAGAAAUGGUUGAUCUUACUACAAUUGAAAAAAAAAAAAGACUAACAAUUUAGAAUAUAAAUAUUUACUUAGUACUUAUCAGAUGAAAAAGAAACGAAUAAAUUAAAAACACAUGCCUGAAUAUAUUAUGGCCACUAACAAGAGCUCAUCACACAAGCAAAAUUCAAAACGAAAAAUCAAAUCAAAUCAAGGAAUAAGUAUGUAGGGUCAAAUUGAAAAAACAAUUAUUUUGUGGGGUUGAUAGCAAAGUUUCAGAUAAAUAUUUCAAUAUGAUAUUUUAAUAGACAUUUUUAGUGAAAAAUAAUGCAUUUAAUAUAAGAUGUUUUUUAGUGAAAAGCAAUGUCCUUUAUAAUGAAAAGAUGCUUACAACGGUAUACUAUAUUCAUCAUAAAUAGUUGUACAAUCAAAACAAUUAUCAAUUCAAAUAAUAAUUAUGCCAAAAAUUAGAAAUUAAAAGUUUAUUGGAGAAUUUUUAUGUGCAUAGUUAAAGAAUUUUUGUAAUAUAUUAUUGGGCCAUACAGCAUAAACUACAUUUAAUUAGUUUGGAUUGAAUAAGAUAUUGAGCAUUCUAAGAUGCAUCCCACAGCUGUACCUGUGACUCCCACAGCUGUACCUGCCCCCCAAGACACAUGAGAAGACAAUUUAUAAUAGGUUUUCAAAACUGAUAGUUUUAGAAGUUUCAAAAUUGAUAGUUUUAGAAGUUUCAAAUUUUCAAAACUUUUGGAAGUUUUUAAUUUUCAAAACAAGGAUUACAUUUCAAAAAUUUGAAAAGUUUCCAAAUUUGGAAAGUUUCAAAAGUUUCUAAAUCUGGAAAGCUUCAAAAAUUUCUAAAUCUGGAAAGCUUCGAAAGUUUCCAAAUAUAAAAAAUUUCAAAAUUUUUCUAUUUAUAAAGUUUUGAAUUGUUCGAAAGUUUCAAAAUAUUUGGAAUUUUCUAUUUCAUAAGUUUCGAAUAUUCUGGAAAUUUUAUGUUUCAGAACUUUGAAGAUUUUGAAAGUUUCGAAGGUUAAGGUAAUUUUGCUAAAGUUGCUAAAUUUUAGGUUGAUUGGAUUGACAAAUUUAAGUGUGGGGUGCAGAUAGAAUCCUCUAAGAUAUUUUAUAGAAAUUAUCCAAAUCGAAUCAAACCAUAAUACUUGUAUGGUCCAUCUAUUAGAUAUGAUAAGAAACAUGAUGAUGAUAUAACUAUCGUAUCAUAUAGUAUUCUCAAUUAUUAUCAUAAAUAUGAGUUGGAUUGCAUACCUGCUUGAUAGUAUAAAAACAAUAAUAUACUUAGUCAUCUUUUAUAAAAUAUAAUUUAAAAUAAAUAAAUUUGAAAACUAAUAAAAUGUAAAUUUAAUGACAAUAAAAUUUGAUAUCCAAAUUUAAAAUAAAAUAUUAAUAGUUAAUUUUAAAAAAUAUGUAUAAUUUUAUCACAAAAGUAACAAACACAUAACAUAAUAAAAUAAUGAUAUAAUAUAUUAUCAUAUAUACAUCAAAUACAAUAUAAGAUAAUAAAAUAAUGAUAUAAUAUAUUAUCAUAUAUACAUCAAAUACAAUAUAAGAUGAUAUUUAUCUUAUUACUAUCUUAUCUUAACUCUAUUUUGUUUUUACAUAAAAAAAAAACACUUUUUAUAUUUGGAUCUAAUAGUUUGUAAAAAAUGUUAAUAUAUAUCAAAAAUAAAAAAUUUAUAUUAAAAAUGAAUUUUUUCUCAAAAAUUAUACAUUGUAUUUUUAUAAUUACUAUUUAUAAAAUGCUUAACAUAUUCCCUAAUUUGCAUGAGCCUGGUUGUUUUUCUUCAAAACUAAUCUAAACUGCUCCAUGAUCUAGUUGAGUCACUCCGCUCCAACUCCAACUGCCUAAUUUUGCUAGGUUAAAAAAACUAUAAAACAAUGAAAAAACCUAUUCGCCACUCUACCCCACCAAAGGUACCCACCUCAUCAUCAGCGAUUCUCGUCCAAGUUAACAAUAACAACACUACUCCAUCUGCAUUAUUGGAGAAUCUACGGCCACUAUUUCCAGCGUGUGUCAUACGACCAAGUACCAUUUCACAUUCACAUUGACCAAUUCCAAAAUUCUAUUAAAUAAUAAUAAUAUUAAAUUCAAAAAUAAUAAGAAUAUCAUAGUUUAAUUCCCCACCAUCUCUCUCUCCGUGGAAAAUAUUACUAGGCGCAAGAUUUUUCUAUCCCCUUUGUAGCACGCCGAUUUGAUUUCUCUCUACCUCAGUGAACACCUCAUGACUUUUUAGGUAAUAUAUACUAUUUUACUAACAUCUUUUUCUUCCUUGUAAUGUGAAAAUGUUUUUCCUUUUUUUUUUUUAAUUAUAUAUUCCUUUUAUGUUUGUCAUUCUUUAAAUUAAUCAUUAUUAUUGCUAUUGAUUAAUGUAGUCAAUGGGAAGCAAUCAUGGCUGUUACCGCAUUAAUAGUAUCAAUAUGAAUUAAAUAAACAUUAUUUUAUUGUCAUGAUUUGAUUUUGAUGUAAAAAAUUUGUCAUGUAGUUUUUUAAUCUGGUAUAUGGUGUGAUUUCCAGGUAUUUACGGAAGGUAGGGUUUGACUUUGUUAGCAGUGGAGGUUACGGAAGGACAAGUUUUUUGAUUCAUCAACGUUUCUGUUAAGUCUUGACCACUACACAUGUUUGUUGUCUUUUAAUUCAGAUUUUUUUGGUGCUUUCAACAUUGAAUGGAAUUGGAUCUGUUGUCUCAGAUCAAUUCAUUCUUGCCUGUUUUUGAUUGGUUUGAAUGGUUCUCUCAUAUCAUGUGGGAAAAUUUUCAUUUUUCAUGAUUCCAAAUUUGUGCCCCCUUAAUGUUUGUUGAUGGGUCUGAAUAAAUAUAGUACCUAUGAAGAACAUUUUGAGAGAAUUGAGGACUACCCUUUUGGUUCUGAGUCUUUUUAUGAGAUAGUGGAUAAGUAAAGUGUGAUUUUUUUAUAGCUGCAAGGUGUCUUUUGAAAGUUUUCUUCUGAAGCUUUUGGAAUAAUAAGAUGGAUGAAACUAGUAGUUCUUGGAUAAGGAGGACGAAAUUCUCUCACACCGUGUGUCACCGAUUGGAUUAUUCAAGAAUUGGCUCUUUCAUUAUUCGGCCAGAGGCAGUGCAGAAUCCGGAUCUGAGAGUAAGGUCAGCAGCAUCAUCAGCUGCGUCAUCAACAGCAGCAUCAGCACCUCCUGUUGUUUCUAAGGUUUCAAAGGUUUCAAAGGUUCGGAAGAAUCCUAUAACUAAUAAACAGAGAUCUUUAUCUCCUUUGCCUGAAUCCUCUCUUUCUGAAACCUUUAAGGAAGCCAAGCAUGAACAGAAGAGGUUCUCGACGCCAGGUCCAAGGAGAAAAGAGCAGGAUACAAGAAUCAUGGGGAAGCUACUGAACAAGGAUUCUCAAGUGUCCAAUUCUAAAUCGCCUCAUAGAAGUCCAAGCAAUUACUUUGCAUCAAUGAAAUUCAGUGACAAGUCAAAGAACCGCAAGGACUCGGGAUGGACAAAGUAUUUCGACCACGGUGGAGGAAAGGUUACCGCUGUGGAAACGGCUGAAGAAUGGAAUGUUGACCUCUCUAAGCUCUUUGUUGGUCUUAGGUUUGCUUACGGGGCUCAUAGUAGGCUUUACCAUGGUAUGUAUGAGGACGAACCUGUUGCAGUGAAAAUUAUCAGGGUCCCAGAUGAUGACGAAAAUGGCACGUUGGCUGCUAGAUUAGAGAAACAAUUCAUUGCAGAAGUCACACUUUUAUCUCGCCUCCACCAUCAAAAUGUUCUUAAGGUAAUUAAAUCCAAUCAUUUCUCUUCUUUUACCUGCAUAUUCUUAUUAUGUUGUUUUCAAGUUUUUUCACCUCAAUUAUGAUAAGGUUGGCCAAAACAUUAUACACAUGUCAUAAUUUUUUAUGGAAGAACAUCGCCACAAGCACUUAAAAAGUUGUCUUUAGCUUUGUGCAGAACUAUUUGUUAUUCUUGUUGAAUACAAGGUUGGCAUAUACAUUAUUUUGUAAUUAUUAUUGGACUUGAUUCUUUAGUUUUGUUGAAAUAAUCGGCUAUAAGAAAUAAGCAUACUACUUUGUACGUCAUUUGUUGUACAUCUUUGUCUGAUUAUGCAGUCCUACUUGACAAAUUUACUCUAAUAAGGAAGGUAAUAUGUCCAUGUUUUCUCAUAUAUCUUGAUCUGAUUGCACAGUUUGUAGCAGCAUGCAGAAAGCCACCUGUUUAUUGUGUUAUCACAGAAUAUCUAUCGGAAGGUUCCUUGAGGGCUUAUUUGCAUAAGUUGGAGGGAAAAACAAUUCCUCUACAAAAGCUAAUUGCUUUUUCUCUGGAUAUUGCUCAUGGAAUGGAAUAUAUACACUCUCAAGGUGUCAUUCAUCGAGACCUUAAACCCGAGAACAUUCUUAUCAAUGGAGACUUUCACCUCAAAAUUGCUGAUUUUGGCAUUGCUUGUGAGGAAGCAUACCACGACUUACUCGCUGAUGACCCUGGUACCUACCGCUGGAUGGCACCUGAGAUGAUCAAACGAAAGUCCUAUGGGAGAAAGGUUGAUGUAUAUAGUUUUGGGCUUAUCUUAUGGGAGAUGCUUAAUGGUACAAUACCAUAUGAAGAUAUGACUCCCAUCCAGGCUGCUUAUGCUGUAGUAAAUAAGGUAUGCUCCUUUGCAAUUAUGUUGUGUGAAUCUGUGAUAUCAAUAUCGAAACCUCUUUAAUAUUAUAACAUUAUUCUUCGUUGCCAUUACAGCAUUCUUUAUGAACUUAUAAGUUAAUUUUUGUGCACAAUGCAUGGAAUCCCGUAUAAUAAUAGGAAAACUUCCAUGACCCCUUCUCUCCUUCCAAACACCGCUGCUUCUAUGAUAUCUAAUCUUUUUGAGUUGGUGGUUGUUUCUAACCUCUUUGAAUGAUCAGCAUAUCAGUGAUGCAAGCUGGACUUGUGUUCAGUUAAUGAUUUACUUUGCUCCUCAAUAACUUAUGUACUCUUCAAUACCACAAUUUUUUUUAUGAAUAUAAACAAUAUUCUCACAUGUGUACCGGGUUCUUGGCUUGUUCUCUUCCUGGGAAAUGUUUCAGCCUUCAAAUCUUACGCUUAAUUUGAUUAAAAUUACUUUUUUUUUUCCAAUGAUUCAUUCACUUAAUUAUAAAGUUCUGUUGAAGUCGUAGUUGCCAAAAGUUAUGAUUUCCAGAGGAAGAGGAGGCUUUUUUUCCUGGGUUUCACUUUUUGAGGAUAUCAAACAUAACUGCUAGUUUGUAACCCUUUGAUGUCACGAAAGAAUAUGUUUUAUAGCAAAACCAAAUGCAAAUUUGAGAUUUAGCCAAAUCCUUGGCGAGAUAUCUCCUUUGCUUUUAAAGCAACCAUGGAGUAAUAGAAUAACGAAUAAUUAUAUCUAUCCAUCUUUGGUGUGUUUGUUGAACUGAUUCAGAAAGAAAAUUGCUUCUUAUAAAAAUUGUUUCUUAAACAAACAUGAAUUAGUUUAUAUGAAAUUAUUACACAUGCCUCUGUUUUUUUUAGUGAUGUAGCAUCAUUUUAGCUGAUAGAUUACUUAGAAUGGAGCUUAAUGAAUUUGUAGGAUCAUCAAAUAUCAGUAAUUGCGGAAAAGGUUUUGCUAUUGAAAGGUUUCAUGUCAUUUCAUUUUUUAUUGGCAGUUUAUGCAUCUGAUUUUGAAUAAAAAAUAAAGUUUGUCAGCUGUCUUGUGUAUAUUAUUUAUUUAUUCUCUCUUGAAACUAAAAUGACACGGUUUACAUAUGCAAUUCUAAUACUCCCUGUGAUUUGGUAUUCAGAAAUCCAGGCCUGUUAUUCCUUCAAACUGCCCACCUGCAAUGAGAGCUUUAAUUGAGCAAUGUUGGUCCUUGAAUCCGGAAAAAAGGCCCGAGUUCUGGCAGGUUGUUAAGGUGUUACAGCAAUUUGAAUCUUCGCUUGCUCAUGAAGGAACAAUUUCCCUGCUGCAAAACCCUUUUUGCCAAGAUCAUAAAAAGGGGCUUCACCAUUGGAUUCAAAAGCUCAGUCCUUCACAUCAAAGCAGUGGUCCUGUGCCUAAACCAAAAUUUUCAUGAAUCUUGAGUGGCCUGACUUUUGUAGUACUUUAGGUCCAUUGUAAUUAAUAUUGAAUGGUUUAAAUCUUCAAAGAAGUUUUUUUUAUAGGUUUUCUGUCACUUUAUAACAUUAUUCAUAUGAGAGUAAAUCAAUAUUAGGAUUUGUACAUUGAGGUCGUAGCAUAUUUUAUUUUCUAUGUCUUGCAUAUCACUAAUGAUAAAGUUAUUGUGCCGUAGCAAUAGUUUUAUCUUUUCUCCAAUGUCAAAAUUUUAAUUCUAUAUUUUUAAUGUUUCAUUUUUGUUUAUUUGUUGCAAUGCCCUAUGCAUACUCAACCAGUGACAGGUUUUUCAAAACUGUUCAUUUUGCUUUCUUAGUAGCAAUCUAUCAUAAUGUGUGUAGGUUAAAUAAUCAUGUACAAUUUUUUUUGAUAAAAAAUUGAAUUAGUAGAGACACUCCGUCAUGCAGAGAGAACCACCUACUAAUACAAAAAAAAUCAAUAUUUAUAAAUUCUUUUCUAUCAGGAGAAAUUUCUCAACUAACUUCUGUUGGUCCUACAAUUCAAAUUCAAAUAAUAGAAGUGUGAAUGGUAGGUCCAACAAUCAUGUAAAGAGUAAGAUACUUAUUAUUGUUAAGAUCACGGGUAUUAAAGUAAUUGGAGGAUUUAUGCAUUUUUAUACUUUUUGAAUAUCUUGGUACUUUGUAGAUCACAGGUAUAAGCUUCUGUAUCCAUGUGACAUUAAACAAGAUUUUUUUGUUCUUUAGUUUUGGGAUGUGCAUGUACUCUACAAAUUCCAACUACCUUUGAAUUCAACUAACUUGUGCACAAUAAGACAAUAAAUUAUUCUGUCAAUCAAUGGUAAAGUAUGUAAAAUUCAUUAGUUGGUCGCUGUUUGUUAAGCUUUGUGCAAGAGUCACAUUCAGUACCCUUUCACGUCAUUCACUGUAUUUGUUGUGAUGGCAUUGUUUUUUAACACUUUUACAUGAGUGAGUUAAGUAUGUGCAAUGAAUCUGCAGGUGGUUGCAUGUGAUUUCCAAAAUUAUAUUCAUAAUUUUAAACACGGCCCGGAUGGUCCAGGCAAAUGACUGGAAAGUCGACCCGGUAAUACUCAGCCGGGUUACUAGUUAGACCAGCCCGACCCGGUUUGAACACAGGAGUGACUUGACAAAGUCAAAGUUGAAAAUGGUUUAAUUACUAGGUCAAGUUUGUUUGUGUCAAUUGUUAUAUAUUAUUGACAAUUAUCCUACAGAUCUUUAAUCUUAUUUAUUUAUUUUUUCAUAUAAAUUAUUUAUUUUGUAAAAUAUACACAAAGUAAUUUUUUUUAUUAAAAAAUAUCUAGGUGGUAAGCCACGUUAGCAUUUUUCUUCACCAACAUCAUCUCAUUCCUAUCAAAAUUCAAAAUUUAGUUUCAACACCAUUUUAUAUGUAUUAUUUCUUUUUUGACUGGAAAUCGUUAAUGUAUAUUUGGAAAUUAGUAUGAAGGUGCUAACAUCCAAACAAUUACACUAUUCAUUUUUUUAGACUAACAAUCAUACUAUUCAUGUUAGCUGUAAAAUUGAAUUAGGCGUAAUUUGACCAUAGGCUAUGUCAAAACAAAUUGUGAAUGUCAUGGUGUCAUUAUUUUGUUGAAAUGCAGUGUAUUUGCUGACUUUUGAUUUCUCAAAUUGUGACUUUUGAUUUUGUGACAUGUACCCUCCCUUGUUCUAUGACAUCAUUUCUUGAUGUCGUUUUUUCUCAUCUUUUAUAUUCUCAAAAGUGAAUUCAUCAACACAAAUGUGUAUUUUGACACAAAAAAUAUUUAUAAAUUGAUCAAUUCAUAUAAUAUUUGAGAGUAGGAGAAGAAGCUUUCUCUUUCUUUAGUCCAUCCCAAUAGACAUUUUUUGAGUUAAAAAUUUUGAAUUGGGCUUUCUCUGUUCCAAAUGACAUAGUCGUAAACAAAUUUUGGGCUCUUUAGUAACAACAAGACAACCCGACAACUAAAGAAAGCAACAAGACAGCACCCCAAAACGCACCCAAAAAAAUAUUUCAUUGUCAGACAUUUUUUAUGUGAUUUUUUAAAUAAAUAAAAAAUUGGAAAAAAUGAAUUUUUUUAUUAAUUAAAAUGACGAUCAUUUUACUACUUUUCUCAAAAGGAACUUGCACAUCGUCCAUUGAAGUUACAAAUUAAAUUCUUACCAUUGAAUUGACACGUUAUUUUUACAAUAAAUUUAAUUUUAUUAAAAUUUAUAUACAAUGGCAUUUAACAUUCAAUUAUAUUUUUUUACUCAAUAUAUUUAUUUAUAUUAUCAUUAAAAUAUUAUAUCAAUAAUAAUAAUAAUUUGUUCGAAAUAAUAAUAGUAAUAAAUAUUAAUAUUAUAAUAAAGAUAAAAUAAUCAACUACAAUUAUGAUUGCAAUGUUUGUGUACAUAGUAAUACAGUACUGGGUGACACUUUCAUUAACUUCCAUACAUAUAUUUUAAUCAUUCUAUAAUGGUUAAAAAUAUGUGUGAAUUAAUGUUAUAUAUACUUUAAUAAAAAUAGAAUAUAAUUCUAGCGGUAUAUUCCGAAUUCUCUUUUGAAUUAAUGUUAUAUAUACAUAAUUCCUCAUAUUUUGAAAGCAAAAAAUAGAGUAAACAAAUAUAACGUGUCACUACUGUAACAUAAAAACCACAAAAUAAACAUAAGUACAAAACAAAUGUAUUAUAUAUGAAGAAACUAUAAGAUCAAGAUCGACAAUCAUUAGGUGAACGAAAAGACGCAGCUUAUAAUGUCGGAGUCGGCGCCAAUACUAAAAUCCUAGAGCUAAAUUACUCAUUUUUGUAGUAACAACAUUAUACUCUUAUUAGAAUUUUUCGUAUGAAGAAACUUGCACACCAGCUCCAGAUGUACAUAGCAACGCAAGUCACAAGACAGCCAUCAUAUGAUACAACUUGAUUAAUCAUAAAACCAUUCCUACUUUCACCAGAAAGAAAAAACCACAUUGGAAAAUGUGUGAUAUAUAAAGCAUUCAAGCUAUAUAUACAACACUAGAAUAAUCAGCAUCCGAUGUCAUAGAACAAUAGCUUCAAAUUGAAUCAAAGAAAUUGAGACCUGAAUUUUGUAUCUUCCUAGCCAUAAUGCACUUCCACGAGGUCAAUGCCAUAAGGGCGAUAUUCCCACUUUCAUAAACACCAAACAAGUGUCACCUACAUCAAAUCAGUUUUUUUUUAAAGCACGUAUGUUAUUUUUUUGAAUCAAUUGAUUUUUGCUUUAAAAUCAAUCUAAAUUGUAAUGCAAACACCCUUAAAUGUGAAUUGAUUAAGAGGUUUGCUAAAUUGAUCUUGAAAUAAUUCUUACGAGGGAGCUAACAAACCUCCUAAUCAAUCUAAAUGGUACGUAAAUAUAAAACACUUCUAUUUUUUUUAAUAGUAUUUAUAUUUUAUUAGAUUUUAAAUUUAUAUAUUUUAAAUUAAACAUGAAACACUUCUAUUUUUUAAUAGUAUUUAUAUUUUAUUAGAUUUUAAAUUUAUAUAUUUUAAAUUAUAUUUUAUAAAAAUAUCUCAAAUCAUAUUUAAAAUAAAAAAUUUAAUUAAAAAAAAUAUUCAUAAUAUAAUAGUGUUUACGAUUAAUGUAUCAUAUUUUAUAAAUUCAUCAAACAUUAUAUCUCUUAUUAUAUCAACAGACUAACUUUAAAAACACAUAACAUAUUUUUUUGUUUUUAAAGAAAAAAUAAAUCAUACCGUAAUUAAUUUACAACUAUGAAAUCUUGAAUUUAAAUGUAAAAUAAUAUUUAAGAUAUAACACAUUUAAACACCACCAAAUGGCUAUUUAUCCUUUAAUUUUUUAAAGUGUUGUUCGGCAUCUUUUGUUACCGUUGCACUCAGAAAUCUUAAGAUGCCACCAAUGAGGUGAUGGUAUGGGUUGUAGCCAUCGGCUUUUGACUUGGAUAAGUACAAUGAUGAAAAUUGAAAAGUAAAGUAAGACAGUUUUGGAUAAUACUCAAACUUAAAAACAAAUGCCAUUUUUAAUGGGGUUGUCACAAAUGCGUCAAUGCAUUAGUUUUUGUACUGUGCUCAUCCUGAAUUAUAAAUUUUUUUUUUGAAGUUGAUAAUAUGAUUAUUUAUGAUUAAUUUAUAUAAAAUAAUUAUUAUUUAUUUGAUGAUAUAUUAUUCACUUUAGAAAACUAAAUUCAAUUUGUUGUAGGCUCUAAGGAAUAAAAAUAGGAUAGACUGAAAUAAAGCUUUCUUGUGAGCAAUACAAUAUAUUUUUCAAUAUAUUCUUUUGUUUUUUAUUUAAAAUUUUAAAAUAUUCUACUUCAAAAAAUAUAGUAAAAUGUUCUAAUUUUUGAAUUUUUAUUAAGGUACAAUUUUUAGAUGCAAUCCUGUGACCAAAAAAAAAAUAGAAGUAAUAGUUGGUCAUUAUACACAUUUUUUCUUCUUCAUUCUUUUACAUUGAUUGAUACAAUAAAUAAUUUAAAAUAUAAAAUAUAAAAUAAUUAUAGAAAUUGAGUAGAAUUGUAGUAACAUCUAGACACUAUUUAACAAUUCUCUCAUAGUUAGCUUAAUUUGCUGUCUAUUCACUUUUAACUGAUUAUUAUUAUUUGUGAUAUUGCAAAUAAAUUAAUAAUUUUUUUCUAUUUUGCAGUCAAUUUUUUCUCAUUUUACUAUCAAUUUUAUUUAUUAAAAUAUAAAUUAGUAUAUGUUCAAUUGUUUAACCAUUGUAGCAUGUUCAAUUAUUUUAGUAUGUACACUUUUUGUUUGUUCAUGAUAUUUUUAAAUUAUUAAAAAUAAAAAAUACAUUUACUUACAUUAGAAAUAAAAUAGACGUUAAGAAUAAUAUGUAAAAUAUAUAUAUGGAUUAUAUUAGUUAUCAAAUCAUAAUCUAAUUUAUUGUUUGAGGUUACUCUAUCAUUGUCUAAUUUAUUGUCAAAAUAUUACCGAUAACUCUAUUUAAUUUCUAGAAUUUUUUUGUUUUUACCAAUUUAAGUUAAUUUAUAUUAUUAUUAAUAAAUAAUAUUUUAAAUUAAUUAUUUAUCAUUUUUGUUUAUUUUGUCAAUUAAUAUAAAAAAAAUGAAGAAAAAUAUGUGCGUUGAAGGUCACCCCUAAUUUUAUUUUGCUUCACGCAUUUCCAUAAUACGAUCUAAUAAAAAAAUAAAAAAUAUAGUAUAUAUUUUUUUUAAAAUGGAAUAUUUUGAAAAAAAAUAUAUAUAAAAUAAAAAUCCUGAACAACGUCAUGUUUCUAUUAUUUUGUGGAGAAAAAAGAAAUACUUAUUCUGAUGGAGAUCUAUUAUGAGACAUUAACUUCUUUAAGGUCCGUUCUUGUGAAUUUCUUAUUUUUUAAUUUAAAAAUCAAUUUCAAAAUCAAAGUUAAAUGGGGUGUUAAUUAUAAAUUAGUUUAUUUAUUUAUUUAUUAUUUAAAUAAUUAAAUAUAUUUUUAGUCCGUUUAAAACUAUAACAUUUUAGUUUUAGUCUUUACUAUUAAAUAAACAUAUAUUUUUAAGUCUAUAUUUUCAUUACUUCUACCUUGAAUUUUUAAAUUUAUUUUUAUUUAUACGAACUUAAAAAAAUUUAAAUUUUUGUACAAGAACUCUUUAUAAUGUUAUAAACAUACUUAAGAAAAAUCAUUCAAAAAUUCUAAAUUGAAGGAGGAUUAAUCAUGUUUUAUUUCAACAUAGAUUAAAAAUAUUUUGUGUAUAAUUUUGCAAUGACUAAAAACUAUAUUUUUAUUUCAUAGAGACUAAAAUUAAAAUGUUGAAUACACAUAGCAAUGGAGCGAGGGUGUGUUUUGCCUCCUCCACACCCUCACUCGAUUAGUCAAAGAAAAUCUACAUUCAUCUUUUUUUUUUUUUAUCAUAUGUAAAAUUUAAGUUUCUAUUCUUUCUUACGACACGAUUAAGAUUUCCAUGUCCGCACCAACAUCUAUUUAUAUAUAUAAAAUAAAAAAUUUAAAAGUCAUAUUUAUUUUAAUUAAUAUAAUAAAAUAAUUAUUAUUAUACAAUUAUAAAAUUAAAUGAAUAUUAAAAUAAUAUUUUCUAUAGAGAAGAGAUUAUAACUUUUAAUAUAUAAAAAAAUAUUAAAUAUAUUAAAUAUGUACAUGUAUAUAAAAUUUAAAAAUGACAAUAAUAUUACUAGUUGAAUACGUUAUGGGGCAGGUGCAGAGUAAUAUCAACACCUUAAAUCCAUCCAUAUUGUUGAGUUUUAAUUCCAUAGAAAAUCCGCAUUCACAUCCAAUUAAAGUGAAUUUUUUUCACUCAAAUCGAGACUGGUUAGAAUGGAUACCCAUGAUUGCAGACUGUGUUGUCGUUCAUAAUGUUACAGUUUUUUAAGACAUCUUAAUAUUUGACCAUUUUUAGUAUAUCAAAUUAAAUCCUAAUGAGUUCCUAACAUCAAUAAAUCAAUCAUUUCAAACAAACUAAGUUCUUAAAAUCAGUAAAUUAUAACAUCCUAACAUCACAAUUUAAUAUUCUAACAUAAUUUUUUUUGUUUUUGAGUCAUCUCUAAUUGGAACAUGUGUUAAUCUUUUAGUUGCACAUAUUAAACAUCGACGCAAUAAUAAAUUGCAUUAUAAAUAUAUUAAAUUAUAUAUACUAUACUAAAUUAUAUUAUUCAUAAAAUAAAUUAUUUAUGAACAUAUUCAUUCCACAAUCUAGCGGUAAAAAUAAAAAUUUUGAUAAUUAUUUUCAACUCCUAACACAUCCGGUAGUGAUAUUUCAACAAAAUAAUUAUACUUUUAAAAUAUUUAACACAUGUUAGCAAGACUCUUUUGUAAAUUGCAAAUAAAUAUCCUGACAGUACUUAAAUGCACAUCGGUGACCGUGAGUGUCCGCUAAAAAAUAUAAUUAAAUCUAUAAUAAAUAAACAUAUACUAUAUACGAUAAUACAAAAUUGUUAAAUAUAUAUAAGUUUUUCAAAAUUAUUUUAACUUAGUAGCGAUCCCCACAAGUUGAGGUUUUUUAAGCUGCAUUAAUUUGUUUUAAUAAGAUACUAUUAAUUAUACUACAUUUUUUUCUACAAUUUGUAACAAAUAUCAAUAUAAUAAAAACAUAAAUUGAUAAUAUCUCUUAAAAAAUAAAUAUGUAAAAUAAUUCAAACCUGCAGUAAAUUUAUAAUUAUAAUCAACUAUUUUAAUUUUUAAAUUACGGAGAUCUUAUAUAAGCACGUAUAUAGUAAUUGUUAUGUGGGGAUCAACAAGUAGUCCUCUCCAACAACUUCGACCAUAUGAAUACCAAAUCUAUUUUUCAAAACACAUGAUUUUUUGACACAAAUUUCAGCAUUAAACUCUGUAUAAAUGGCGGUUUUGAUUCUUUUUAUUAAUUAUUAUUUUCAAAAUACUACUAAUGUAUGACAUCUCAGUCAGGCAAUGCAAAUUGUUUAUAUGGAAACACGAUGCAAACACCCAAAUCCAAAUCACUUGGAUUUUUGUAAUAUUCAUCCAAGACUCUAAAAAUUGUUCACAUUGGUCAUCACUUACACAACACAAUUUGAACUCAGCAAUUUUAAUAGUGAACCUCUCCUUGUAUACCAACUCAUCUUUAAGCACUACGUACAUAUAUCAUCUUGUUUUCACUCAAUUUUGGAGAGUUGAUAAUCUUAGAGAGGUAGAAAAAGUAGAGUUUUUUUUUAGAGGACCCACACCCCAAGAAAAAAAUUCAAUUCAAGUGUAAAUAUUUAUGUGUUAAAGUGUGAUAUGUGUGGACCAUUCAAGGAAAAAAUUGUGUGCUAUAUGGGACUACCUGCAUAAUUCAACUAAAAUUCAACUAAAGUGAAUUAUUUAAGAAGCACAUAUUAUAUUGUUGAAGAUGUUCUAAAGUACCCCUUUGAGAUGCUCUAAAGUGAGUUGCAUCUUGUUAAGAUGAAAGUAGCUCAAGCUAAAAAAGUCUAAGAUUAAAAUGUUGGUCGGUUUAAAUAAAUACAAAGAGUUUAAUAAUAUUGUUGUUGUUAUAUAGUUCUCACUCCGUCCUAAAAUAAUUAUCAUAUUUAUAAAAAUAUUUGUCAUAAAAUAAUUAUUAUUUUUAAUUUACAAUAUAAUGUUAAUUAUCAUAUUUUAAUUAUAUAAUUUAAUUAAUAUUUUGUGUAUCACUCUCAAGUUAUAAUUUUUUAUUAUGUAUUUAUGACAAUAAAAAUAAUCUAAUAGUUGAUGCGAAUAGUUUUGUAAAAUUAUUAUUCUAUUUUAUUAAUUUAUUAUUUAUUUUAAUCAAUUUGAAAUUGUCAAAUGCGAUGAUUAUUUUGAGAUAAAAUAAAUAAUAAAAUUUUAUAUGAUGUGCUAAAAUUAUAUACAAACUUAUCAUCUACAAAAUUUAAGCUUAAUGACGUAUAGAAACGUUUUGAGUUUGCAAAUUUAUCUACUAAUAACAAAUUUUAAAGGAUAAAUCUUAUUUUUAUCUAUUAAAUUGUUACAAAAAUUGGGAUAUGUGAGAUUAUAUUGUAAAUCUUUAAAUUAGACUAAUAAAUUAUAUUUAGUUUUUCAAGUUCAUUAAACACUUAUAAAAGAAUUUACAUUUGCAUUUCUUUAAUAAUAUUAGUUGAGAUUGAAUUCACAGUACAUCGAAUUUAAUACAUGUCUUUUAUUAUUAGACUAUAUCAUUCAUGUUUUAAAAAAAAGUCUAUUCCACAUAAAAAUAAAAGUUUCUAUAACUAAUACUUUAUUCUUUUACACUUAAUUUUUAACUGUGAUAGGAUCUAUAUAUAACUAAAGUAUUUUAAAACUUUUGAAUUUUUCUUAACCUAUGGUCCCUAGAAAAAAUAGAUCUUGCUAGUCCAAAGUUUAGUUGAGAUGCUCUACCUAAAGUUCAAAGUCAAAGGUUGACAAAAAAAAAAUUGGAACUCUAAAUUUUUUAUUGAUUCAACAUUUAAGUUUUAAAGUUUGAAAUCAAUGUUGUAAUGCUGAUCAACUAUUCUUACCAUUGCAAUAGCGAUACUUCCUCCGAACUCAAAUAUCAAUAUAUCUAAAUCCCAUCGUGCUUACUACUAUUUUCCCCCUAACCUCUAAGUCUUCUCCCUUUUUUCCGGCUACCGAAACUACAAAAGUCCUCUAAACAAUUCAUCUAUAAAUUUUUGUUGACAUUUCAAUAAGUCAUUAACUAAAAAAACAAUUCCCUGAGUCGUUAAUAAGUAAGCUUUUUGAAACCCACCCAAUUUAAUCAAUUAAUAUCGUAAUAUUUAUCAAUGUCAAUUAUUAUCUAUAGCAUACAAUUAAAUUAGAUGCAAAUGAGCCGAGUUGAGUCGAACAUAAGUUCAAUUUGGCUCAACUCGACAAGAAUUGGUUUAACUGGAAAUUCAACUCGAGUUUGUCACGAAAUUAUUUUUCAACUCUAUUCAAGUUUACGGACAACUCGCUUCGCUCGAUAGUUCUAAUCAAAUAAACCAAAAGACAAAAUUGUUAGUGAAAAAGUAUUUUUAAAUGCAAUCUUUUGGUUAAUGUUUUGAUGAUAACAAAUACAUAUAAAUAAAGAACAACUAUUCCCUAACUAUAUAUGUUAAGUGUGUAGAUUAAAGAAAACAAUUAUGUUAAUAACUAUUCAAAGUAGCCUAGAUUACAAGUACUUUAGAGAUCCUCUAUUGGAGUAAAAACGUAAAAGAAAUACUACAGAAGCAAGCGCAUCAAAACAUGUUUCGCCAUAGUAGGAUAUAUCCUCUGGUAAUUUGUCAACAAGAUUUGGUAAAUUUUGCAUUCCAAAAGUAGUGAAAAAGCAUCUAUGAUAUAUUGUCUUUGAUGGUUCAAGUAGUGAACUGCCACAACUGAUUCUGCCUCAGAUAUAGUUCUGCUCAAAUUGUCUCUGCUACAUCUGCCUCUGAUGAAGCAAAUCAGACUCUACUAAAGUCUAUCUCUGAUGAAGCAAACAAGACAUUGUUAAGUCUGCCUCUGAUGAAGCAAGCAAGACUUUGUUAAGUAUGCCUCUGUAAAGCGAGCAAACUUAUGAACAAACUGCCUCUCACCAAUUGCCUAUGAUAUAUUAUCUUUGGAGAUGAAUCAAUCGUCUGAUUACCUCUGCCUCUAAUAAACCCAAUUCAAUUAUGUUCCUAUGCCUUUGAUACUCAAGCAAAAUAAUAAUUCUUAUGCCCUCUAGGUCUAACAAGAAUCCUUCUACAUGUGCCUCUGAUAAUCUCAUCAAGCGUCUGACUCAUAACUAUUAUGUAUCAUAUGGAAAAUCAAUGUUAUAAUAAAGUCAACACUUAGAGAAAAGUAAAUGUCUCUUGUAAAAAGUCAACAUGGAAUAAGUCAAUACUUAUGGUAAAAGUUAACGCUCUGACAAGAGGACAAAAUAUAAUGCAGAAAGGAAUGCACUGCCUCUGAUUAUCAACAAUGCCUCUGAUUAUCUACCUUUGAUUACCAAUAUUGCUUCUCGUCAAUUAAUACUACUUCUAGUUAUUGCCUCUUGUCAAGAAAUCAUGUUUCUGAUGUUCUUGCCUCAUGUCAACUAAACUUGCUUCUGGUACCCGUAAUUUUGGUUAAUAAAUCAUGACUCUGGUACUCCAACCUCUAAUCAAGAAAUCAUGAUUCUUGUAUUAUUAUAUCUGGUCAAGAAAUCAUGAUUCUAGUGUUCUUGCAUUUGGUCAAUAAAUCAUGCUUUUGAUGUUCUUGCCUAUGGUCAAGAAAGUAUACUUCUGGCACUCGUGCUUCUUGUCAAGAAAACACAAUUUUUGUGUUCCUACCUCUAGUCAAGAAAUAAUGCUUAUGAUGUUCUUGCAUUUGAUCACGAAAUCAUGCUUAUGGUUGUUUUGUGCAUCUGAUCAAGUACUUCAGCUUCUUAUUGUUUUUUGUUUUUGAUCAAGUACUUCUACUUCUAAUUGUUUUAUACUUAUGCUAUACAGUUUGAUUUAUUCUCAAAUGAUCUAUUGUUGAAUUCAAAUGAAACACCAUGUUGAAGGACAUAAGGCCAUUCUAUAAAGUACACAAGGCCAUUAUAUGAAGGACAUUCAUCCCUCCCUUGAAGGAUAAAGGCAAUGUUGUAAUUGAUUAUGUAAAAGAACAUGUAUUUUGAACUGAAAGAUGAUGAUAAUAACUUGCAACAUUUUAAAAGAGAAACAAACACAACACAACAAGAAAAACACAUCAAAAAGCCAUAAAUGAAAAAUCAUCUCGGUAGAGAGUUACUAGAAUUGAUGUUAAUUAGUCAAAAUGUUUUCAUACACUUGAACUGAUAUAUGAUUAAAUAUGUAAGAUCCUCACAAUGAGAGAUAGAAUCUUAGAAUCAUACUUUGUGUGAAAUCAGAAACAAACUAGAAUUGAUGCAAACUCGUCAAAAUGUUUUCAUACACUUGAAAUGAUAUAUGAUUGAAUUUGUAAGAUCCUCUCAAUGAGAGUUAGAAUCCUAAAAACAAACUUUGUGUCAAUUUAAACACAAACUUGAACUGAUGUAAAUUACCCCGUUAGUGGAAACAACACUCAUGAACCUCAACGACAGUUUUCCAGAAUAUUGAAGAAUGGUUUUGACGACAACAGUCUGAAGAGACUAGAGAAAGAAUACUUAAAGCUUAAAGAGGCAGAAUAAACAAUACUUGUAAAUCCUGGAGAGGCUGGAGAAAAAAAUACUCAAAGCCUUUAGAAGUAGAGUAAAUAAUACUCGUAAAGCCCAUAGAGGCUGGAGAAAGACUACUCAAGGUUUGAAGAUGCAUAAUAAAUAAUACUUGUAUCCUAUUGUUACAAUAGUGGAUUAAAUCUUCUACAGUACUGAGAUAAAAUCUUUCUGUAAGGGGCGAACUAGAAGUAACAAUUGUUGUGUUGUGAACUAGUAUAAAAAUAUAUAUGUCUUUCUCUUUCACUAUUUCUUUUAUCUUAGUUCUUUAUGAUUCAACUUUAUUUUCACUAAAUCUGAUUUAUAAGAGUAAGUUGAAUGUUUUGAUAAAGAAAAUUUUUGUGUAAAGAAAUCGAAGUAUAAUCUAAAAAUGGCAUACACAAUUCAAACUCUCCCUUUCUUGUAUUUUCCAUCACCUUCAAUUGAUAUCAAAGUCUGUUAUCUUGAUUAAGCACUUUAUUAAGAAAAUUGUUUGAAAUAGUAUUUUUUUUUUAAUAUUUUCUUCAAUGUGUUUAUCUCCUUCAAAACACAGUUUACCAAAAUAUGGAUGAAACGACUAUUUUUGCUUUUAUAAAAAAAUAGAUGAAGUCCUCUUGUUGGCCAUUUUUUUUGUCAACUUCAUCUUCUUUUCAAAGUCUUUUUUGUAUUUGUGCUUUUCUUGUAAAUCACUAUUCAAUGACAAAUUGGAUAAAGUUGGCAUCCUUUUGUAAGGCAUAGUGAAUUACUAAGUGAGAAUAGUCUAUUUACUAAUACUCAUCAUCUGAUAGAAAGAAAUAUUAGUGAAUUAACUAUAAUUGUUAGUGCAAAAUAAUGGAAACAUUUCAACAAUGAACCUAACCAAUCAGGGAUAAGUUUUCCAAAAACUUCAAUGAUCUGUGAUGUAUUUCAAAUGUGCAAGUAACCAUUUAAAAGAAAUUAUCAGUAGUGGAACCUCUCUCCCAACAACACAAAUUCAGAAAGAUGAAUGGCAACAAGUUAAAGAUCAUAAUCAUACCAAAGGUUAAAGGAUAUAGUCAAGCAUCAGUGUUUAAACCAAGAAUGCUUCAAAUGGAUAGAUCAAUCAUAAUCAAUCAUUUGAUCACCAUAAUUUAAGAUGAAGAAUCAAACACAAGUAUAAUAGUUGAAACAAGACUAUCCUCAAAAAAUCUUGAAAUGCAAGAGGACCAAAACUCUCUUGGAAGAUUAUCUUUUGAUCCCUCAAACUAAGAGAACUUUGAAAUAAAAUUGAGUUUAAUAACUCACCAUUUGUUCAAACUCAUGAGUAUAUCAGAAUCUUAAAAGAACUAUCUUGGCAAAUCCUCUAACUACAAGGUCUGGAGUCAUUCCUCUCACUGCUCAAGGAUAAAAUACUUGCCUCUGGUGCGUAACGUGUUUGAUUCAUCAUUUGAGAUUGACAUUUACAAAAUCAAAGCACUAUAACAAAAGGGUUGCAUAUUCUGAGUCAUAAGAAAUAUCAUAACUAAGAUAAAUCAUCCUCUGGUUAGAAGAUCAUCUGAUUAGAAAAGCCCAACAAAAUUUGGUAAGACAUGUAAAAGAGCAAAUGCAAAAUCAUCCUCGUGUGUCUUUGUCAGGUAUCAUGUACUUUACUUCAUAAUUUUUUUAUGCACUUGUUUGUGUUUACUUAUACGUUCUCGCAUUGUGUGUGCCUAUGUUUUUUUUUUUUUUUCUCAUGGCAUAUCUUGAGUCAGUAUUGUUUUUUCAAUCUUGGUUUAUGUUGUGAUGUCCUCAUUCUAUCAUCUUUCUUUGUUCAUCCAAAAAUCUAUUUUUCCUCUUAUCUAUCCUCUCUGCCUAUUUAAAUCUUUCUCUCCUCCAACAAUUUUUCAAAACCAUCCAUUUCUCUCGUAAGUUCUUUUUAUUCCAAAAAUUGCUUUUAUUUAAACUAUCAUAAACUUGAAAUCCUCUAGGAAAAAUCAAAUAUAUAUAUAUAUAUAUAUAUAUAUAUAUAUAUAUAUAUAUCAUUUUCUUUAUCAAGUCUUCAUCUUCCUAAAUGAUCAUCUUCUUAUAUUGUACUCUCAAAGACUUUAGAAUCUUCUUAAAACACGAACUACUCAACCAGAAGGGUGAAAAGUUCAGAGAUCCUAAAUUCGUUACAUAUGUGAACUAUAAUCAACAAGAUGUAUUAUCCAAAAAAGUUCACAAAAUACAUUUAAAGGUUAAUUUGUGGAACCCUUGGGUAUGAAGGUAUCCUUCUUUCUCCAAGUACCUUGAAUACAAGGAGAAAGUAAUAAAAAGAACAAGGGCAUUGGAGGGUUUGUGCCUCCAUUGAGUAUGAGAUUUAUAAGUGUUGAACAUAAUUAAAUAACCACCUUUGAGCAAUAAUAUAACACUAUAAACAAUUUUAUUUGCCUUCAUGGUAUGAAUAAAAAAUAUAUACAUUAUUUCUAAUUUUUAAAUGACACAUGUUUUAUUUCAAAACAAAAUUUAUAAAUCAAAAUAUUAAUACCGGAAGUAGUUGAUUUGAGCAACAAAUGCAAUAAUAUCUCACAUUAGACUCGUUGCAAUUUUUUUACAAUGUUAGAGAUGAAGUUUGGGUUCCCUAUAAACAAUGAAGUUGUAUGUCUUUUUAGCAACUUUCAAAUCAUAUAAAAAUGUUAGUUUUUUGAAAUAUUUUUAUUUCAUUUCAAAAUAACAUUUAUAAUACUUUCAACAUUAUUUUCAAACAAUUUAAUAUUUACACCUAAAAAAUUAUAUAAAAUUGGUGAUAUAUAUAUAUAUAUAUAUAUAUAUAUAUAUAUGGUUCAUUAAUCAAACAAUUCGAAUUAUACAUAGCUCAAGUUCAACCCAUUUAUUUAGCGAAUUCAUUUUUCAACUCAAGUUUGAUUCAUGAGCCAAGUUCAACGAGCUAAUUAUCAAAUUAAAUGUCGAACUAUUUUCGAGUUGGUUCGACUCAUUGACAGACUUAGAUUAAAUGAUUGAAACUACAAUAAAAUCUCAUUUAACUCAUUGGAUUGAAAAUAACACCUAUCGUUAACUCUAAAGUAAUGCAUUGAUGUAUUAUUGAUAAAAUGCAACGAUCUUCCUACUAAUGAAAUAUCAUUUACAUAUUGCUUUGUAACAUAUCAUUUAUCUUUAACUAUAAUUCUUGCAUAGGUACACUCAUUUACUUGUAUUACUUAAUACUUGAUGUAAUUAUCUAAGUGUUCUACAUCAUUUGCUAGAAAGGAAAUGAACUCAUUUAUGCACUUUUUUUUAUAGAUGCUACGUAAAUUUUAAUUAUUAAACAUUUUCAAUUUUCAAUGCAUCAUUAAUAUUAUGUCAUUUUCGAUGCACAUUAAUACCGAAUUACUUUUUAGAAACCAUUAAUAUUUUAUCACUCUCAAUGCACAAUUAAUUUACAAGAAUUCUCGAUGUACAUAUUUAUAAAUCUACGUGACAAUUAAUCGUUAGUCAUUUUCAAUUCAUAAUUAAUGUGCAGUCAUUCUCAAUGCACCAUUAAUGUAUAGUCAUUCUCAAUACACCAUUAAUGUUCAAUAUUUGUUAAUGCUUUUAAUAUUUUUUUAAUUGUACUCUUUAAUUAAUAAUACUUGUAUUACUUCCAAAUUAAUAUCAUCUACUUUUUUGUUUUGGUAUUAGAAGAUAUCAUAAUUACGAUAAUAAUUAACUGACACAAUUGUGAGGUUCUGAAUUCAAACUCGAGACAAGACGUCGAAUCUAACAAUAUUUAUAUUUGUAUUUUUCAGUUGAGUUAUAACCUAAAGACUAAUAUAAUUUAUUUUAUAUUAAUGAUAAUAGUGAAUAAAUCAAUAAUUAAUAAAAAUAAUUUAAUAAAAAUAUUAUUCUAUCCAUAUAUUUAUUUAUUUAUUAAAGAUUUAGAUCAUCUCAUUUUAGUAUCUCAUAUUCUCUCUCAUAUUAAGAGAGAUAGAGAUACAAAUACUUUUUUGUAUAUCAUAUAAUUUUUAUAAAAAUUAUUUUUAUGUUGCUUAAAUAUUUGUCUCUCAACAUUAGGGAAAAAAGAAAAGAAAAUGUAAUUUUUUUUAAUACAUGUGAAAUCUUAAAUUACCCAUUAUUAUAGUACAAAUGAAGCAUCAUUAAUAAGUGUGAAAUUUUAGAGAGCACAAUGCAGAGAUACUCGUUAGUGUAACCAUUUAUCGAGUCUGUAUUUGAAGUAGAAGGGAGUAUUUAAUUUACCAAUUGUUUUCCUAGUUUUCAGUACACCCUUCCCAAAUUUCUGCUGAGCUAGCACUAAAAAUCAAAAUAAAAAAAACAAUUUAAUUUCACAAAAUUUGUAUACACAUGAACAAAAACGGCAAUGAAUUUGGGCAUAAGCUCCUAUAAAUGAACCCUCUUGCUCACAUAACUCCAACAUCACUUCCCAGUUCUCACUCUCUUAAACAGAGAAAUGGCCAAAACCCUAACAUUACUGUUACUCUUACUCCAACUAACCUCUUUCACUGUCUUUUCUGNNNNNNNNNNNNNNNNNNNNNNNNNNNNNNNNNNNNNNNNNNUCUUUCCCCCAGUUACCCUCCAACUAAGUCACCGGUUCACCCACCGGCGAACGCCCCUCACCACCAUCAUCACCACCACCACAUUCACUCACCAUCCCCUGCUCCUACCCCUGUUAAUGUCCACCCUGCUCCUCCUACACAUUCUCCCUACCCUUCUACCCCUGUACCUGCUAAACCACCAACUCAUCACCACCAUGUCCAUCACCACCCUCCUCCCCCUGUUAAACCACCUGUUCACACACCUAUUGUAACCCAUCCACCAUUGUACACACCUGUUCCAACUCACCCACCACUGCACCCCCCUGUUCCAGCUCACCCACCAUUGCACCCCCCUUCAGUUCCAGCUCACCCACCAUUUCAUUCCACUCCCAUUCCUAGAAGCUUUAUUGCAGUUCAAGGUGUUGUUUAUGUCAAAUCAUGCAAAUAUUCUGGGGUUGAUACCCUCUUGGGAGC
This 24408-nucleotide long non-coding RNA is filed under the name Cicer arietinum (chickpea). Its description in RNAcentral is "long non-coding RNA (CARI_LNC001845)". Lineage: Eukaryota; Viridiplantae; Streptophyta; Magnoliopsida; Fabales; Fabaceae. The record is from RNAcentral.